This 254-nucleotide ribosomal RNA is filed under the name uncultured bacterium. RNAcentral describes it as "partial 16S ribosomal RNA". It matches the Rfam family "Bacterial small subunit ribosomal RNA", at positions 524 to 776 of the family's 1533-position model. The record is from RNAcentral.
UACGUAGGGUGCGAGCGUUGUCCGGAUUUAUUGGGCGUAAAGAGCUCGUAGGCGGUUCCGUAAGUCAGAUGUGAAAACUCAGGGCUCAACCCGGAGACGCCAUCUGAUACUGCGGUGACUGGAGUCUGGUAGGGGAACACGGAAUUCCUGGUGUAGCGGUGAAAUGCGCAGAUAUCAGGAGGAACACCGAUGGCGAAGGCAGUGUUCUGGGCCAGUACUGACGCUGAGGAGCGAAAGCGUGGGGAGCAAACAGG